This 228-nucleotide long non-coding RNA is filed under the name Mytilus galloprovincialis (Mediterranean mussel). The record is from RNAcentral. Lineage: Eukaryota; Metazoa; Mollusca; Bivalvia; Mytilida; Mytilidae.
UAAGAAGCAGAAGCACUGCCCUUUACUGUCAAAGGGUGAUUUUCGGAUACUGUUAGUGUUUGUGUAAAAUUGGUUAAAAUUUUACCGUGAUUUGUCAAAAUAUUCCUAUUGUUAUUCAUCAGAGGUUUCAAAUAAUUAUCAUCAUUACUGUUAGUUUUGGAAAAAAAUUAAAGUGAUUUGUCUAAACAUAGAUGUAAUACCCAUAGAUAAAGCUCGCCAAAAGUUCCC